Equus caballus (horse) is the source of this 2684-nucleotide long non-coding RNA. RefSeq lists it as uncharacterized. Lineage: Eukaryota; Metazoa; Chordata; Mammalia; Perissodactyla; Equidae. The record is from RefSeq and is a predicted model, not a curated record.
UUCCUGGGAACGCGGGCUCCGCGGAGCCGGGGUGGGCGGUGACUCAGCGCCCGGGGCGGAGCGGGGUCCCCUAGCUGUGGGGCCGGCGAGCUUCGCCCCCUCGGCCCUCAGCCGCGCCGGUGCCCGUGGCUGUCCCGGCCUCAGGCCGCUCUGUGCGUUGUCCGGCCGCUGGACGCCCGUAGGGUCUCGGAAGUCUAGAUUCGAGAGCGGGAAAGGCCUUGAAGUUGCUCAUUGUUGUUGCGGGUGCGGCCACAGGUUGCUGGAGGCAUUUGGGGCAUGUGAAGAAGGCGAAAACGAAUCGGUGCUGGCAGUGAGGAUGUGGUUUUCACCUGCGGAACUGAGAAUUUUAUGAAGUUAUUCCAUCUCCCUUUCCCGCCAGAAGCUCAGAGGAGCUGGAAUCCAGUCUGCCUCUCCUGUCCUCCAGAACAGAAACCAGCCCUGCCUCGCUCACCUUCCCCUACUCCUGGGCGAGAGGACCUUACACACAGUAAGCCAUCAGUGAAUGGACACAUCAGGGGUGCUGUUUGUGGUGUAAAGGAUUUGUAAAGUGAAGAUUUAUCCCUCAACUUUACAUGCUGACUUUGCUUAAAACAAGAUUCAACUGUAAGGGGAAAUGAGUGAGCAGGAGAAGAUUUAACCGAAGAGGUGACACUUGAGCUGGACCUUGAAAUUGGAAUUCUCCUAGCAGAUGGGAGCAGUGUCUUAUUGGUAUUUGGAGUGGGCCCUUCGGAAGCAUCCUGGACAGUGCGGGAGUCGCAAAGUCGUGCCAUGAGGAAGACUUGAGAGAACUAGCAUUCUCAGGAGAGAGGUCUGGGGGCUUGCAAGACUGCCAUGAAGAAGCACACUUGCUCCCAGUGUCACGUGGGACGGGGAAGAAGCCACAGGGAAAAUAUUCUGGCUUAGUGUAAAGAGCUUUAUGGGAGCUGUAUGACCAUGGAACUGCCUUCUUUGCCUGGUUGUGAUUUCCGUAUCCCUGGAAUAUACAAGCAGAAGCUGUCAGACUCCUGCACUGUACCUUCAAGAUCUGUUUGAUUCUGUUCCUAACACUUUACUGGGAGUUGAUUAAUGUUCUCCUCCCAAGAAGACUUCUCUUGGGGGAAGGCACCCGAAGGAAGACAUUUUUGAAGGUGAAAUCUCAGGAACAGUGACAUGAGUGUGGGGAGGUGUUUUUGGCUGUUGCCCCUCAAAUGAUACCGUAGCUGGUAAACAAGACCAGCCAUGAUCCAUUCUACCACAUGGAAAUGCCUUUCCCAUCAAUAUCUGCAGCAGUCAUUUUUUUGGUCAAAGUGAGCUCUCCCAAACCAGUUGGGUUAGGCCUCCUGCUUCUUUGCAGCCUCUCUCCAUGAGAAAGUGCCAGAAGGUGUGGCAUCAGGACUGGAGGAGAGAGAGUGGGAUGUGGCUGCAGGAGACGCCUACUCAGGCACUUCAUGGAGAGCACACUUCUCUCAGCUGGAAGCCAACUUUUCUUUCUUCUUGUGACUCAACCAUCAUUUAUUAGAAAAGCUGCCUGAGCAUUCUUUGCUUCAGUCAGAAGCUCUGCUCAUGCUUCAGCUCUUGGUGCUGUCGGAAUUUGCCCCUUUCUCAUUUAAGAUCUCAUAGGAGACUUGUCCCUUCUAGAUGGUCCUCUUUGGGGGACCCCUGACCUCCUUCAUGGUUUCUCUGGGGUGGAGGAUGAUACCCUUUCUUGUGCUUUCAGCUGGUCCCACCACUGAUGUAUCUUUCGAAGAUGCAUGUCUGGGGCUUGAGUGGGGGAGCAGCGCGGUGGCUGGAGACGAGGGACGCAUCACUCCCCAUCACGGAAUGAGAGGCAUUACGGGCCAAAGAAGAGAGCUCUGAGGUUGUACAAGCCUGGAUUUGUUUGCCAGUUCUGACACUAAUUAGCUGUGUGACUCUGGGUGGUUUAUUAACUCAUCUGAGCCUCAGUUUCCACAUCUGUAAACAUGAGGUGACGGUAUCUCUUGUACUUGGUUGUUGAGAUUAUUCAGUGAGAUACCGUGUGUGAAAGCACCUAGCAUGGUAUGUGGCUUUGACUAGGAGCUCAAUGAAUACCACCUCCCUUACUUCACUUCCUGGAACUCUGGUCUUUAUUCCAUCUAAGGCCUUCUUGGCAGCCACCCAGCAGGCACGCUGGUGGGCAUCUUAUUGGAUGGAAAGUCUUGGUGCCUUUUAGAGCUUCCAGAAAGAUCCAUGGACAGAGUAAGUGGCCACUUUAUGCUAUUCCAGAGCAUGACCUGAGGAGUGGAUACUGGACUCCAUCUGUCACUUGUUUACUCACUACCUCAGUGUGGCCUGAAAUUCUUCCCAUUAGUCAUUUCCAUUUUAAUUUUCUUCUGGAAUCAAUAGAUUCACCGGGAAAACAGUCUAUCAUCUAUAGGCUGGAGUGUAGAAAGCCAUUGUCAAGGGUGGAGAGGAAGGCCAGGGGUGUUGGCUGUCUCUCAUCCAGCAGCACAUUGGACCCUUUAAGAAUGAAAUUAGUUGACUGACACCUUGGAGCAGAGACUCUGUCACUUACCUCUUUUUUGCUGGAGCCCUGCCUACAACAGGAGAUUAUCAACACUUUUUGUUGAUCCAGUGAAUGUCUUUUAAAAAUUAUGUGAUUCUGAUACAUGCUACAACAUGGAUAAAACUUGAGGACAUUAUGCUAAGUGAAAUAAGCCAGUCACAAAGAGACACAUACUGCAUGA